Molecule: long non-coding RNA, 162 nt
Filed under: Polistes fuscatus (common paper wasp)
Lineage: Eukaryota; Metazoa; Arthropoda; Insecta; Hymenoptera; Vespidae
Description: uncharacterized LOC122518147
Source: RNAcentral
UAUAACAAAUUAAUGAACACAAAUUUCUGAUAGAAUAUUUUCUCGAAUGGAUGAAAAAUGACGGUGAUGACGUAUGAGGAUUAAAAAAAAGAUGAAAAUAAGUUGACGAAAAAAAAGAAUAUUUUCUCGAAUGGAUGAAAAAUGACGGUGAUGACGUAUGAG